Molecule: long non-coding RNA, 840 nt
Organism: Salvia miltiorrhiza (redroot sage)
Lineage: Eukaryota; Viridiplantae; Streptophyta; Magnoliopsida; Lamiales; Lamiaceae
Exons: 4
Source: RefSeq, a predicted model, not a curated record
UUUUUCCCAAUAGAAUAUUUUAGUAGAAAUCUUGAAUUUAGUGUUGAAUCCUUUAUUUGAUACCACCAUUAUGUGAUUAAGAAAUUUGGGCCUAUAUCUAUAAGAGCCCAAUUAUAUAUUUUUAGUCCAUGAUCCUUUUAAUUUUCAUGAGCCCAAUAUAAAACUUUUAUUUUAUUUUUCCAACCACACUUGAUCUGCCAAGAACCCAGAUUUCAACACCAAGAGAUCAUCCACGUUACCUUUGAUAGAAAAAUCUGCCCAAGGCUUUGAUUUGAAAUCAUCCACGUUACCUUCUUCUUUACCCCAUCUACUGCCUUUGUCUUCUUUAAAUUACCCACAGCCCUACCCCAUACACUUCACCACAGAUGAAUCUCAUCACUUUCAUCUCAAUUAUACUUCCCAAAAUUCGAUUUCUUCCAAAUAAAAGUAAACAAACUUCGCCCUUUUUUCUUUACAGAAGCGCCUAAACAAGAGCAGCAUAAGCAGUAAAAAAAAAACAUUCACCUCAUCAAGAUAGAACAGAAGCAGAGCUCAGCCCUCUUCAUCUUCUUCAUAAUCACAUCACGGCUCAAUUGACCAAGAGGAUUAGCAUUGCUUUUACGAGACGAGUUACGUUUGACUUCGGACUUUGUCCAAUCAAGGUUGAUCGGUUGGUGCAGAUGGGGUUGAGCUGAGGCUAGGGUUCCACGCUGGCUUUUGCUUCCGCUAAUGACUAGCUUGUUAUCUUGUAUUUCAAUUCCCUAAACUAAGAACUUCUAUUAUAUGAUGCAAUAUUAUCUUGUUGAGCUAAAACUUUUUAACUCAUAUUUCUAUUAAUAAAGUUAUUGUUGGUUAUGAUCA